AGAGUGGAAAUGAUCAAAUAUCCCUGGUUGGGGCCACAUGCUGGCGGCAUCCAUCCCCGCUAGGGUACAGGCGAGGUGGUGGUGGAGCCUGGCCCCCAGGCCAGCUCAGAUGCAGGUCAGUUCCGGGUUCUCUCUUUCACCUUCCACCUGUGCUGACCCAUCAGGCAUGCAGACCCGGAGGUGGACACAGAUGCUGCCCUGUUCUCACUGCAGCCCAAGCGUCUGCCUGGGAUUUUCAAUAUGGUGGUAGAAGGAUAUAUUCUCGAUAAUACUGGAAAAUGUUCUUGAUGAAAGAACAGUGCACAGUGACUUUGACAUCGCUUUCCAAUGCAAAGCUGAACAGAGGGUUGGUGCUCUGGGCCAGCGGGGUCCCAGGUGAGAAAUCUGAAUGGAGUAUUAUUCUGAGCCAAGCUGGUAACCCUGUCACCCAUGGUUUCCUUGUUGCCUUAUGUGAUGUCCCGAGAAACACCCUUCUUGCUUCUCUCUGAAUGAUCCUCUUCACUCUCUCCUGGAGAACCAUGUAGGAUGGGGGAAAGAGAAAGUUGAAAUAACUUAGGUGAGUGAUGGGUCAGUUGGCAAAGAAUCUGCCUGCAAUGCCGGAGACCUGG
This 608-nucleotide long non-coding RNA is filed under the name Capra hircus (goat). RNAcentral's name for it is "lncRNA (ENSCHIG00000008091.1)". Lineage: Eukaryota; Metazoa; Chordata; Mammalia; Artiodactyla; Bovidae. The record is from RNAcentral.